UGCGGUAAUUUGACCGUGCAAAGGUAGCAUAAUCAGUAGUCUCUUAAUUGGAGGCUUGUAUGAACGGUUGGAUGAGAGAUAAGCUGUCUUUUUUAUAAUUUAAAAUUUGACUUUUAAGUGAAAAGGCUUAAAUUAAAUAGGGGGACGAUAAGACCCUAUAAAACUUUAUACACGACUCAGUUCAUCUUUAAAUUUUAACUAAAUUAAAGUGAAAUGGGGCGUGUAUUUCGUUGGGGAGACGUUGAUGUAAACUGUAACUGUCUAAUUGAAAAAUAUAAAAAUAAUUAUUAUAUGAUCCUUCUUUGUGGAUAAAAAGAUUAAGUUACUUUAGGGAUAACAGCGUAAUUCUUUCUGAGAGUUCUUAUCGAAGAAAGUAGUUGCGACCUCGAUGUUGAAUUAA
This 400-nucleotide ribosomal RNA is filed under the name Palaemon varians (Atlantic ditch shrimp). Its description in RNAcentral is "partial 16S ribosomal RNA". It matches the Rfam family "Bacterial large subunit ribosomal RNA", at positions 1932 to 2540 of the family's 2925-position model. The record is from RNAcentral. Lineage: Eukaryota; Metazoa; Arthropoda; Malacostraca; Decapoda; Palaemonidae.